Non-coding RNA from Lolium perenne, 431 nucleotides. The record is from RefSeq and is a predicted model, not a curated record. Lineage: Eukaryota; Viridiplantae; Streptophyta; Magnoliopsida; Poales; Poaceae.
UGUUGUAGAGUGUCUCUAUAGGUUUUUAGUGCUUGCGCUGCCGCUUAACUCCACCAUAUUGCCUAUGACGUUCCUCUUGCGUCCUCUAAGUCCCCUGCGUGCCUCAAGUACAAAUGACGACUGGUUGACGAAUGCUUAUACGUCUUGAAGUCUUGUUAAGUACGAACCCGUACUUAUUGCUGCUUCUACGGGAUAUAACCGGGCAGGUAUGAAGAUAUGUUCGAUGAAGACGACGUUAGCAAGGUUACCCCUCCGGCUUGGCCUGGGCAGGGUUAUGGACGCCACUUGUUAUCUUCAGGACUCUUAGUCCAAUUUGUAUCUUGUCCGUACUCGGACGUAUUCGAUCUUCUGUAUGAUUUGGAUCUUUGUAUUGUAUAUUUGUAUCUUGACUCGUUGGAGUCGUUGUUAUAAUAUAUGUUUCUUGUGGGCUC